ACCACCGAUUGAAUGGAUCAGUGAGGCCUUCGGACUGGCUCAGGGAGGUCGGCAACGACCACCCAGAGCCGGAAAGUUGGUCAAACUCGGUCAUUUAGAGGAAGUAAAAGUCGUAACAAGGUCUCCGUAGGUGAACCUGCGGAGGGAUCAUUA
Molecule: ribosomal RNA, 153 nt
Filed under: Ramularia kriegeriana
Lineage: Eukaryota; Fungi; Ascomycota; Dothideomycetes; Mycosphaerellales; Mycosphaerellaceae
Description: partial 18S ribosomal RNA
Rfam family: Eukaryotic small subunit ribosomal RNA
Source: RNAcentral